GCAGAUAUCAGGAGGAACACCGAUGGCGAAGGCAGGUCUCUGGGCAUUAACUGACGCUGAGGAGCGAAAGCAUGGGGAGCGAACAGGAUUAGAUACCCUGGUAGUCCAUGCCGUAAACGUUGGGCACUAGGUGUGGGGGACAUUCCACGUUUUCCGCGCCGUAGCUAACGCAUUAAGUGCCCCGCCUGGGGAGUACGGCCGCAAGGCUAAAACUCAAAGGAAUUGACGGGGGCCCGCACAAGCGGCGGAGCAUGCGGAUUAAUUCGAUGCAACGCGAAGAACCUUACCAAGGCUUGACAUGGACCGGAUCGCCGCAGAAAUGUGGUUUCCCCUUUGGGGCCGGUUCACAGGUGGUGCAUGGUUGUCGUCAGCUCGUGUCGUGAGAUGUUGGGUUAAGUCCCGCAACGAGCGCAACCCUCGUUCUAUGUUGCCAGCGCGUUAUGGCGGGGACUCAUAGGAGACUGCCGGGGUCAACUCGGAGGAAGGUGGGGACGACGUCAAAUCAUCAUGCCCCUUAUGUCUUGGGCUUCACGCAUGCUACAAUGGCCGGUACAAAGGGUUGCGAUACUGUGAGGUGGAGCUAAUCCCAAAAAGCCGGUCUCAGUUCGGAUUGGGGUCUGCAACUCGACCCCAUGAAGUCGGAGUCGCUAGUAAUCGCAGAUCAGCAACGCUGCGGUGAAUACGUUCCCGGGCCUUGUACACACCGCCCGUCAAGUCACGAAAGUUGGUAACACCCGAAGCCGGUGGCCUAACCCCUUGUGGGAGGGAGCUGUCGAAGGUGGGACUGGCGAUUGGACUAA
This 800-nucleotide ribosomal RNA is filed under the name Arthrobacter pascens. Its description in RNAcentral is "bacterial SSU rRNA". It matches the Rfam family "Bacterial small subunit ribosomal RNA", at positions 690 to 1484 of the family's 1533-position model. Lineage: Bacteria; Bacillati; Actinomycetota; Actinomycetes; Micrococcales; Micrococcaceae. The record is from RNAcentral.